This 265-nucleotide unclassified non-coding RNA is filed under the name Ascobolus crenulatus. Its description in RNAcentral is "partial internal transcribed spacer region". The stretch from base 1 to 46 matches the Rfam family "Eukaryotic small subunit ribosomal RNA", at positions 1786 to 1831 of the family's 1831-position model. The record is from RNAcentral. Lineage: Eukaryota; Fungi; Ascomycota; Pezizomycetes; Pezizales; Ascobolaceae.
AAGUCGUAACAAGGUUUCCGUAGGUGAACCUGCGGAAGGAUCAUUAAUAAAUGUACGCCUAGAGAAAGUCUUAAACUACUUGAUCUAGUGCUGUAUAUAACCACCUGUUUACCUUUACCUGUUGCUUCCGUGGAAUUACGGGUGCUCUUUCUGUUCGCAGACUUGAGUUACCUUCCACGGGUGUAUUUAAAAAAUUGUCUUGCUGAAUUGUCUGAUAUAAAAUUUUAAUAAGUUAAAACUUUCAACAACGGAUCUCUAGGUUCUC